RNAcentral lists this microRNA precursor (163 nucleotides) under Oryza brachyantha (malo sina). Its description in RNAcentral is "MIR812 microRNA precursor family". It matches the Rfam family "MIR812 microRNA precursor family", at positions 27 to 187 of the family's 205-position model. The record is from Rfam by way of RNAcentral. Lineage: Eukaryota; Viridiplantae; Streptophyta; Magnoliopsida; Poales; Poaceae.
UUUGACGUUUAACCAUUCGUCUUAUUUGAAACUUUUUAUGAUUAAUUUUUUUUACUGUUAUUAGAUGAUAAAAUAUGAAUAAUACUUUAUACGUUACUAGUUUUUUAAAGUUUCUAUACAAAUUUUUUAAAUAUGACGAAUGGUCAAACGUUGGACACGGAAA